AACAGGGUGGAGUCGCAGCACUCGUCCCUCAAAACAUGGUACAACUCUUCCAAUCAGGGACUUGAUACACUAUUUGAGGGGUAUCAUGCAUCGAUUGAGGGUCAAGUCAUCGAAGUGCAGCGGGCUAUCGAUGAAUCACGAAGCAAGGUAUCGUACUGUUUAUAUAAGUACUUAGUGAAUCACUAGUUAUUUCUUAAAUGUUUAACUUAACUAGCUUUUUCGUUCCGUGUAGACUCAUCGUUUCUCGCAUAGACGACCAUUUACGUAUCUGAAAAAUGAAGUCAGCCUCUGGGUAUUGAGUUGGUGAACGAGUCGUUAUCCAGUAACGACGACUGUGAUUGUGUGAUCGAAACCACGCACGGCCUUCCUUGCACUUGUAGGCUCGAAUCUAUGGAGCGCGAUGGGGUCGAGCUGAAAC
This 418-nucleotide long non-coding RNA is filed under the name Linum usitatissimum (flax). RNAcentral describes it as "long non-coding RNA (LUSI_LNC004225)". The record is from RNAcentral. Lineage: Eukaryota; Viridiplantae; Streptophyta; Magnoliopsida; Malpighiales; Linaceae.